This 305-nucleotide ribosomal RNA is filed under the name uncultured bacterium. RNAcentral describes it as "bacterial SSU rRNA". It matches the Rfam family "Bacterial small subunit ribosomal RNA", at positions 338 to 659 of the family's 1533-position model. The record is from RNAcentral.
CCUACGGGACGCAGCAGUGGGGAAUAUUGCACAAUGGGGGAAACCCUGAUGCAGCAACGCCGCGUGAAGGAAGACGGUUUUCGGAUUGUAAACUUCUGUUCUUAGUGAAGAAAAAUGACGGUAGCUAAGGAGCAAGCCACGGCUAACUACGUGCCAGCAGCCGCGGUAAUACGUAGGGGGCAAGCGUUAUCCGGAUUUACUGGGUGUAAAGGGGGCGCAGACGGCAAUGCAAGCCAGGAGUGAAAGCCCGGGGCCCAACCCCGGGACUGCUCUUGGAACUGCAUGGCUGGAGUACAGGAGGGGCG